GCGAACGUUAGCGGCAGGCUUAACACAUGCAAGUCGAACGCGAAAGCCCUUUCGGGGGCAAGUAGAGUGGCGCACGGGUGAGUAACACGUAGGUAACCUGUCCUUGUGUCUGGGAUAACCACUGGAAACGGUGGGUAAUACCGGGUAGAGUUGUGACUUUCAAUUAAGUUACAAGGAAAGCUGAGAAGCGCACGAGGAGGGGCCUGCGGCCCAUCAGCUAGAUGGUAAGGUAACGGCUUACCAUGGCAACGACGGGUAGCUGGUCUUAGAGGAUGAUCAGCCACACUGGGACUGAGACACGGCCCAGACUCCUACGGGAGGCAGCAGUGGGGAAUAUUGGACAAUGGGCGCAAGCCUGAUCCAGCCAUGCCGCGUGAAGGAUGAAGGUUUUCGGAUCGUAAACUUCUGUUGGGAGGGAAGAAAGGGCCCUGAAGAGGGGCAGAUGACGGUACCUCCUAAGCAAGCACCGGCUAACUCCGU
This 480-nucleotide ribosomal RNA is filed under the name uncultured bacterium. Its description in RNAcentral is "bacterial SSU rRNA". It matches the Rfam family "Bacterial small subunit ribosomal RNA", at positions 29 to 506 of the family's 1533-position model. The record is from RNAcentral.